Molecule: ribosomal RNA, 305 nt
Filed under: uncultured eukaryote
Lineage: Eukaryota
Description: partial large subunit ribosomal RNA
Rfam family: Eukaryotic large subunit ribosomal RNA
Source: RNAcentral
AUAUUAAUAAGCGGAGGAAAAGAAACUAACAAGGAUUCCCCUAGUAAUGGCGAAUGAAGCGGGAACAGCUCAAAUUUAAAAUCUCCUAGGAGAAUUGUAGUUUAAAGAAGUGUUUUCGUUGGUAGCCUGGAUAUAAGUCUCUUGGAAUAGAGCAUCAUAGAGGGUGAGAAUCCCGUCUUUGAUUCAGGUACUGCCACAAUUUGAUACACUUUCAAAGAGUCGGGUUGUUUGGGAAUGCAGCCCAAAGUAGGUGGUAUAUUUCAUCUAAAGCUAAAUAUUGGCGAGAGACCGAUAGCGCACAAGUA